Molecule: ribosomal RNA, 682 nt
Filed under: uncultured Bacillota bacterium
Lineage: Bacteria; Bacillati; Bacillota
Description: bacterial SSU rRNA
Rfam family: Bacterial small subunit ribosomal RNA
Source: RNAcentral
CAAGUCGCACGAGAAAGGGAGCAAUCCUGAGUACAGUGGCGCACGGGUGAGUAACACGUGGAUUAUCUACCUUUUAGUGGGGAAUACCUCUGGGAAACCGGAGACAAUACCGCAUAAGCCCGCAAGGGGAAAGCAGCAAUGCGCUGAAAGAGGAGUCCGCGGCUGAUUAGCUAGAUGGUGGGGUAAUGGCUCACCAUGGCGAAGAUCGGUAGCCGGCCUGAGAGGGCACACGGCCACACUGGCACUGAAAUACGGGCCAGACUCCUACGGGAGGCAGCAGUGGGGAAUCUUGCACAAUGGAGGAAACUCUGAUGCAGCGACGCCGCGUGAGCGAUGAAGCCCUUCGGGGUGUAAAGCUCUUUCGACGGGAACGAUAAUGACGGUACCCGGAGAAGAAGCUGCGGCUAACUACGUGCCAGCAGCCACGGUAAUACGUAGGCAGCAAGCGUUGUUCGGAAUUAUUGGGCGUAAAGAGUGUGUAGGCGGUGCUCCAAGUCUGUUGUGAAAUCUCCCGGCUUAACUGGGAGGGUGCGGCGGAAACUGGAAUGCUAGAGGGUGGGAGAGGUAAGCGGAAUUCCUGGUGUAGCGGUGAAAUGCGUAGAUAUCAGGAGGAACACCUGUGGUGUAGACAGCUUACUGGACCACUUCUGACGCUGAGACACGAAAGCGUGGGUAGCAAACA